This 7935-nucleotide long non-coding RNA is filed under the name Daucus carota (carrot). RNAcentral's name for it is "long non-coding RNA (DCAR_LNC003381)". Lineage: Eukaryota; Viridiplantae; Streptophyta; Magnoliopsida; Apiales; Apiaceae. The record is from RNAcentral.
GAUCUGAGUUGCCAAUUUUACCAGUAAUCACAUAACCAUCAUCAAAUUCCGACUCCACAACAGCUGUAACUGCCUGGCCUACCUUACUAAAUGUAUCCUCAACUGGAUUAACAUGCUCUGGCACACUGGCAUUUCCAGUUCCAAGUAGGUUGUUAUGGGUUCUUGGGCGAACACUUGGUACAUGAUAUAAGCUUUCAUCUUUUUGUGGGUGACCUCGUUUUUGCUUCAGAGGGAUAAGGGCCGAGUCAAACGAGUUGUUCCCUGGGAUAGAUUCAGCCAUUGUAAGAAGAAUUAAACUCAAAACACCGUGGUCCCUUUCCUCUGCAGACAGAUAGGCAUUUAUCAGUAAGCAGAUACGAAAGACUAAACAAAUGUAACACAAGGGAUUCACUUGAUAUGUUAUUCUGCAGCUAAUCUAAAAAGAUGGUCAACACAAACUGAAUUAAAAUAAAUGCAUAUCGUACACAAUGGAAAAGGAAAUUCAUUCUAUUAAAAUUAAAAGGUGGAAUAGGAACUCUCUUAACAGGGGUUCUCUUUAGAAAGUUAUUAAAACUAAGCUCCGAAUUCAAGUUUGUGCAAAAGAAUAGCUACCAGAUACAUUUAUGACCUAAGAAAGAGCUGAGACCAACUCCCACGUAUCUGCUAAUAUGGAAAAUGGAACUACAUUUUCCAUUUCUGUGAUUUUCUUAACAGUUAACUUAUUGGUUUACUAAAAACAUUCUACAGAUUUUGGCUUGUCACAUUUAUGAUUCCGAUGCCCAACUUUGUAUAUUCUAUGAGGUACUCGGUUAUUCAGGUACUCAUGAAGUACCACAUAAUCUGGUAAAAGUGUGCAGAUUUCAUGCUACUCCUUUAUCAGUCCAGGUAACAGUGGGCAGAUUUUUGUAUCAGUAGAUUAUAACUAUAAUAUUUUGAGUGGUAAUGACUCCGCGACAGUAGUUUUCCUGACCUAAUACAUUUAUUCAGUCAAGAUGCAGCAAUAAAACCUAGAAUGCCCUAAUCAUAUUUUUCCCAAAUUAUGAUUAUGAACAAAAGCUAAAGGCAUAUAAUAUUCACGGUAAGCUAAUAUACAAUCUAUAGGCUGACAAACUCCGAGAGGCUUUACUUCUCCCAAUCUCACUACUGGCAGUAGGCAGAUACCAACUGUUCCUCAACUCUGUUUAUUUGUAGCAUUCCCCAUAACCGAAUUCAUUACAUAUAUAUAACCUACUAAUUCUGCUCAGAUAUUACUGUGAGGACAUAAGUCUUCCCUGUGCAAGUAAGAAGAACAUAUUAGCUGAGUACUAAUAAAGCAUCGAAUUGCAAAUCUUUUAACUUCAGUUAACAUAAAGGAGUAUCCACAUGAAAUAAUGAUGCAGAUCGAAGCAAAUAAAGGUUGCAAGACUCCAGGAAUUGCCUAUAUGCCUUUUAAAAUAUAUAUGUGGUUUGUUUUUUUUACAAUAAUAGUAUAUAUGCAACGUUAAAUUAAAUCGUCUUUUUAUAGUAUUAAAGAUUGCAGAUGGAAACUUCAAAGCAACUAGGUUUGCCAGAAUUUCACUACAUCUUAAGGGAGAAGAAUGUAAACUCGAUCUACUCUGCCAAGUUCGAAUAUAUCUAUCUUAUUAGUGCAAAAUUCCACAGAAACUAACAGAUCUAGGGUUUGCAAAUUGAGUAGCUUCAGAUAUAAAAACCUGUAAUAUAGAUGUACUUCCUAUAAAGUGAUAAUUCUGAGUGUUCCAUCACCCGAAACAGAAUUGCAGGUUUCCAUUUCUACAGCAUGUAAGUGUAACCAGUAAAAAGAGGUCCACAUAUCUGAACAUCUCCAUAAGUAUAAUGACUAAUUACUCUCAGAGGUAGAUUCUUAAUUUUUUUACACAUAUUUUUAAAAAUUUUGACCGUAUACUUGAAAUUAUUAAUUUUUUACAAAAACAUUGUGAAUAAAAAUAUUAAUGUCAUAUUUUUAUUCACAAAAAGCGACUUUUAAAAAUAAUAUUUAAAAGUGUGCUGUCAAAAUUCUAAAAUUACGUAAAAAGAUGGAGACAAAUAUAUUCUAAGGGAGGGAGUACCAUAUAGCAGUUAGCACACUAUUCGAGAAAAACUUAUUCACCCAUAUUGACAGUUUGUAAUUUUCACUGAAAAUUUAAAUUAGUCAUUUAUAUUUUUUAGGAUGCUUCGAAUUAUAUAAUACACAUAAACUUUAGUCCAAAUUUGAUGAAAUUGAACACAAAUAAUAGAGUGAAGUACUAAUUUACAAGGAUAGAGGUGCCAAAAUUACACUACUUGCGGAGUUGCGGUACACUUAUGAUCAACAACGGUCAAUUAUCAGCCAAUUAGAGCAAAUUACAUAUACGUUUAACAAUUAACGUAUCAAUAUAUGAAACAAAAGAAAACAUGACCAGAAAUUACGGUUGAAAAUCAAAUGAAUGAAAUGUAAAAUUGAAUAAAAAUAAGCAAGAACAUAUAAUUGCAGUGAAUUAUAUAAAUUAAUCAACGGGGAAUUAAAGAAUUGAACCUGUACGAAGAAGUAAGAGCAAAGCGUCAACUUGAACCCUAGAAUUUGGGGGAGAGAAAAUUACUGAUUUUAAUGGGAAAAAACUGGGACAGCCUGCCGAAUGUUUGAUGUGUGAUAUAUGUGUGAAUGUGUGUAAUUUUUGUAUGUGUGGGUUUAAACUUGAGAAACAUCUAUGAGGAUGAUAAAUUAGCUGGUAUAAUGCCAAACUGAAGUGGGCCAUGAGUACAUGACACUUGACUUAUGUGUACUCUGUGACAUCCUCGCCGGUGGAUAAACAUGUUAUAGCUGGCAUGCAUAGCUUUUAAAAGUAGACACAAUGUGUGACUCCACACAAACUUACAAAAAAGGAUGAAUACGGGUUGGGCGGCUCAGGUUAGCGUAGAUAAAAUGACCCAACACAAUUAGUGUGAUUCAUAAAAAUUUAACCAUUAGAGCAUCUCGAACACAGAUAAUCAUAACUGGUAGCUAAAAUUAUUAAUAUAAAUAAUUAGGUAAAGUUUGCUAUAUCUAAAAAUUUAUUAUUAUCAUAUUCUCACAACUAUAUUCUUAAAUAUUACUCCCUCUCAUUUCUUUACAGAUUUUUUGCACUGCUCGACACGCAUUUUAAGGCGCAUAUAAAACAUAAUUAUAUAAUUUUUUUCAAAAAACAAAAUUGUAUAAAAAUAUAAACAUCAAACUUUUAUUCAGAAGAAGAAUAAAGGUUCAAAAUAUUUUAUCAAACAACAUUUUAUCAUAGUAUUAGAAUAUGUGUCGAGCCCCGGUCUCCAAUAUAAACAAAUAAGGGGGACGAAGGAAAUAGUUAUUUAUUGUGAAUAUAUUUUAUAAUUUAAUUCUAAAUUCAAUAUAUAUAAUUUUUUUAUACAAAUAUAUAUGCUAUUCUAAUUAAUUAAAAUAAUUUUAAUAUUUAAAAAUAUGUUAUUUUACUCUUCUAAAAUUCUAAUGGUGCUAUUUUUAUAUAGUAAUUAUAUAUUGUUAAUAAAACUCAAAAUUUUUUUUCUAAAUCCUAUUAAAGAAAGUUUUUAUACAAGGACAUAUGUUAUUUUAAUUAAUUAAAAUAAUCUUAUAAACCAAACCAAACCAAACAUACUCAGUAUAUCCCGCUUAGAGCAGGGUCUGAGGAGGGUAAGAUGUACGCCUUGCCCCAGAUGCUGUUUCCGUGAAGACCCCCGGCUUAGUGCACAAUAGAUGUGUGAUAUAAUAUUAAUAUACCUUAGCCCAUGGCCUUUUUCACAUGGAAUUACCUAAACCGUUCAUGUUUGUCGAUGAUGAGUGAUAAUGAUCUGAAACGGGGACAAUGAUCUGAAACGGAGAUAUCAAACUCGAUAAGAACUGCCACUAUUUGCACACUUUUUUUGAAUUAACUUGAUUUCUUGUUGUGUAAUCCAUCUAUGUCGAUUCUCCUUCAUCAAAUCCUUCAUCGAAACAACAUCUGUGAUGAUCCAUUAGUACGCACUAAACCUUAUCAAAUCCUUCGACGAACCAACAUCCGUGAUGAUCCAUUAGUACCAAAUCCUUCGACAAACCAUACCAUUAUUAAAUCAUAUCAUUAUUAAAUUUCAUUUCAUUCCCAAAUUUUGUAUAAAACUUUAAUAGCAAGAUAAUAUUUUUCUAAAAUCAUACGUGAUUAUAUAUCCAACUCAUGUGUUUAACACAGUUUAUUUUUGUUUUAAAAUUAGAAAUUUAUAUUUUUAGGCAAAAAAACAUAUAAAUUAUUUUUACAUAAAACAUAUAUUUUUCAUAUAACUCAAAAUGCUGUAAAUAUUAACUUCCCAUUUAUUACAAUUUCGAUAGUGAUUUCAAAUUAUAUAGGAAAUAACUUCCCAUCAUAACCAAAUGAGCACUUAGUUUAACAUAUGCUACCGGAGUGUUUAGGUUUUGGUCUUGUACUCGUGCCGACCUGAAAUAUGACAUGGAUGUGUGAACGGAAUCUGAAUCAAAUCUUUUCAUUCCUAUUGAAACCUGAUACUUCUUCUUAUAACAACUUAAGUUCAAAAUGAUAUAAAAGGCGAUAAAACAACUUGUUCAUUAAGGUUCGUAUAUAAAUGACAUAUUUUAAUUUUAUUCUUUGACUUUAUGACACAGAUAUGACACAUAAUCAAGUACAUAAGAUAAUCCGCAGAAGACAAUAGUCAUACAUAAUUUUUUUAAGAUGUAAAAUGAACAAAGAACAUAAAUUUUUUCUCUUAUGUUAAUCUUAUAUGCAGAUCCCCCCACCGUGUCCGAUUUGGUACUCAGCAUCCAAGAAUCCUAUCCUAAUUUUCAAAGGACCAGAUACUCGGAACCGCACCCGCGUCGCACAGCUGUACCCCAGUCCGGAUAACUCAAAACUCAAGUAAGCCUUGGUCAGAGGGACCAUCUUCACUCUUCACAUCUUUUGGUAUUUCAUGGGAGAUUGUUUGGGACAGAGAGAUGUGGUGCUGGUAAUUUCAGUUUAUAUGUAGUUGGCGGUGUAACUUUUUGCAUGUUCUUGCCUUUCGGAGCAGCCAUAAGAGCAUCUUGAUCUGCAACUGCAUUACCUGGUUCAAGAACAACAGGAACCACAGUGCCUCUUGCUUCAACUGAAGGAGCUGUCACAGUUGCAGUUAUGUCUCUUCUGGUCNGGUGGAUAAACAUGUUAUAGCUGGCAUGCAUAGCUUUUAAAAGUAGACACAAUGUGUGACUCCACACAAACUUACAAAAAAGGAUGAAUACGGGUUGGGCGGCUCAGGUUAGCGUAGAUAAAAUGACCCAACACAAUUAGUGUGAUUCAUAAAAAUUUAACCAUUAGAGCAUCUCGAACACAGAUAAUCAUAACUGGUAGCUAAAAUUAUUAAUAUAAAUAAUUAGGUAAAGUUUGCUAUAUCUAAAAAUUUAUUAUUAUCAUAUUCUCACAACUAUAUUCUUAAAUAUUACUCCCUCUCAUUUCUUUACAGAUUUUUUGCACUGCUCGACACGCAUUUUAAGGCGCAUAUAAAACAUAAUUAUAUAAUUUUUUUCAAAAAACAAAAUUGUAUAAAAAUAUAAACAUCAAACUUUUAUUCAGAAGAAGAAUAAAGGUUCAAAAUAUUUUAUCAAACAACAUUUUAUCAUAGUAUUAGAAUAUGUGUCGAGCCCCGGUCUCCAAUAUAAACAAAUAAGGGGGACGAAGGAAAUAGUUAUUUAUUGUGAAUAUAUUUUAUAAUUUAAUUCUAAAUUCAAUAUAUAUAAUUUUUUUAUACAAAUAUAUAUGCUAUUCUAAUUAAUUAAAAUAAUUUUAAUAUUUAAAAAUAUGUUAUUUUACUCUUCUAAAAUUCUAAUGGUGCUAUUUUUAUAUAGUAAUUAUAUAUUGUUAAUAAAACUCAAAAUUUUUUUUCUAAAUCCUAUUAAAGAAAGUUUUUAUACAAGGACAUAUGUUAUUUUAAUUAAUUAAAAUAAUCUUAUAAACCAAACCAAACCAAACAUACUCAGUAUAUCCCGCUUAGAGCAGGGUCUGAGGAGGGUAAGAUGUACGCCUUGCCCCAGAUGCUGUUUCCGUGAAGACCCCCGGCUUAGUGCACAAUAGAUGUGUGAUAUAAUAUUAAUAUACCUUAGCCCAUGGCCUUUUUCACAUGGAAUUACCUAAACCGUUCAUGUUUGUCGAUGAUGAGUGAUAAUGAUCUGAAACGGGGACAAUGAUCUGAAACGGAGAUAUCAAACUCGAUAAGAACUGCCACUAUUUGCACACUUUUUUUGAAUUAACUUGAUUUCUUGUUGUGUAAUCCAUCUAUGUCGAUUCUCCUUCAUCAAAUCCUUCAUCGAAACAACAUCUGUGAUGAUCCAUUAGUACGCACUAAACCUUAUCAAAUCCUUCGACGAACCAACAUCCGUGAUGAUCCAUUAGUACCAAAUCCUUCGACAAACCAUACCAUUAUUAAAUCAUAUCAUUAUUAAAUUUCAUUUCAUUCCCAAAUUUUGUAUAAAACUUUAAUAGCAAGAUAAUAUUUUUCUAAAAUCAUACGUGAUUAUAUAUCCAACUCAUGUGUUUAACACAGUUUAUUUUUGUUUUAAAAUUAGAAAUUUAUAUUUUUAGGCAAAAAAACAUAUAAAUUAUUUUUACAUAAAACAUAUAUUUUUCAUAUAACUCAAAAUGCUGUAAAUAUUAACUUCCCAUUUAUUACAAUUUCGAUAGUGAUUUCAAAUUAUAUAGGAAAUAACUUCCCAUCAUAACCAAAUGAGCACUUAGUUUAACAUAUGCUACCGGAGUGUUUAGGUUUUGGUCUUGUACUCGUGCCGACCUGAAAUAUGACAUGGAUGUGUGAACGGAAUCUGAAUCAAAUCUUUUCAUUCCUAUUGAAACCUGAUACUUCUUCUUAUAACAACUUAAGUUCAAAAUGAUAUAAAAGGCGAUAAAACAACUUGUUCAUUAAGGUUCGUAUAUAAAUGACAUAUUUUAAUUUUAUUCUUUGACUUUAUGACACAGAUAUGACACAUAAUCAAGUACAUAAGAUAAUCCGCAGAAGACAAUAGUCAUACAUAAUUUUUUUAAGAUGUAAAAUGAACAAAGAACAUAAAUUUUUUCUCUUAUGUUAAUCUUAUAUGCAGAUCCCCCCACCGUGUCCGAUUUGGUACUCAGCAUCCAAGAAUCCUAUCCUAAUUUUCAAAGGACCAGAUACUCGGAACCGCACCCGCGUCGCACAGCUGUACCCCAGUCCGGAUAACUCAAAACUCAAGUAAGCCUUGGUCAGAGGGACCAUCUUCACUCUUCACAUCUUUUGGUAUUUCAUGGGAGAUUGUUUGGGACAGAGAGAUGUGGUGCUGGUAAUUUCAGUUUAUAUGUAGUUGGCGGUGUAACUUUUUGCAUGUUCUUGCCUUUCGGAGCAGCCAUAAGAGCAUCUUGAUCUGCAACUGCAUUACCUGGUUCAAGAACAACAGGAACCACAGUGCCUCUUGCUUCAACUGAAGGAGCUGUCACAGUUGCAGUUAUGUCUCUUCUGGUCAACAAAUUAGCAGCCAGAGGAUGUGCAGUGAGCCAUUUCCUAGAUAAUUAGCUCUCCGCUGAUGGCUCUCUUUAGGUCUCCUCUGACGAGCAUCACUCCUCUUUUGGGUUGCAUGAGGAGUAUCUUUUCCUCUGAUCAUCGAAAGAUGCGGGGCCACAUCAUUUUCUGCCGUCACAGGAGCAUAAUGUCCAGGCUUGAAAAGAACACCCCUUAGAUCUGAGUUACCAAUUUUACCAGUAAUCACAUAACCAUCAUCAAAUUCCGACUCCACAACAGCUGUAACUGCCUGGCCUACCUUACUAAAUGUAUCCUCAACUGGAUUAACAUGCUCUGGCACACUGGCAUUUCCGGUUCCAAGUAGGUUGUUAUGGGUUCUUGGGCGAACACUUGGUACAUGAUAUAAGCUUUCAUCUUUUUGUGGGUGACCUCGUUUUUGCUUCAGAGGGAUAAGGGCCGAGUCAAACGAGUUGUUCCCUUGGAUAGAUUCAGCCAUUGUAAGAAGAAUUAAAC